RNAcentral lists this ribosomal RNA (465 nucleotides) under uncultured bacterium. Its description in RNAcentral is "partial 16S ribosomal RNA". It matches the Rfam family "Bacterial small subunit ribosomal RNA", at positions 28 to 507 of the family's 1533-position model. The record is from RNAcentral.
GACGAACGCUGGCGGCGUGCUUAACACAUGCCAGUCGAACGGAAAGGCCCUGCUUGCAGGGUACUCGAGUGGCGAACGGGUGAGUAACACGUGGGUGAUCUGCCCUGCACUUCGGGAUAAGCCUGGGAAACUGGGUCUAAUACCGGAUAGGAGCCAUUUUUAGUGUGAUGGUUGGAAAGUUUUUUCGGUGUAGGAUGAGCUCGCGGCCUAUCAGCUUGUUGGUGGGGUAAUGGCCUACCAAGGCGGCGACGGGUAGCCGGCCUGAGAGGGUGGACGGCCACAUUGGGACUGAGAUACGGCCCAGACGCCUACGGGAGGCAGCAGUGGGGAAUAUUGCACAAUGGGCGCAAGCCUGAUGCAGCGACGCCGCGUGGGGGAUGACGGCCUUCGGGUUGUAAACUCCGUUCGCUAGGGACGAAGCUUUUUGUGACGGUACCUAGAGAAGAAGCACCGGCUAACUACGUG